RNAcentral lists this microRNA (22 nucleotides) under Mus musculus (house mouse). RNAcentral describes it as "mmu-miR-7686-3p". The record is from miRBase by way of RNAcentral. Lineage: Eukaryota; Metazoa; Chordata; Mammalia; Rodentia; Muridae.
CUGCUCGGGGCACUGUAAGAGA